This 107-nucleotide small nuclear RNA is filed under the name Dasypus novemcinctus (nine-banded armadillo). Lineage: Eukaryota; Metazoa; Chordata; Mammalia; Cingulata; Dasypodidae. The record is from RNAcentral.
GUGCUCCCUUCAGCAGCACAUAUACUAAAUCAGGAAAGAUACAGUAGAGAUUAGCAUGGCCUCUCUGCAAGGAUGACACACAAAUUCGUGGGGCAUUCCCUAUUUUA